UGCUGCGUACCGAGGUGCUUUAAUAAACCUGAUGAAGGAUAUGCGUUGGUGCGGUUUCCAAAAGAAGAGCAGCAUCAAAAAACAUGAUUAAAUGCUGUUUUUGGCAAGAACGCGUUAAAACGUUCUUUGGAAAAUUUUAGAUUGUGUGAAGUACACUUUGACCAAUCUGAUUUAUUGAUAGUGGGUCGCCGAAAAGAAAUAAAAAAGGUGCAAUACCAUCACGGUUUUGUCAAUGUCCCUCUGUGGAUUUUUGUGACAAAUCGCAAACUAGUAAGCGAAA
Camponotus floridanus (Florida carpenter ant) is the source of this 280-nucleotide long non-coding RNA. RefSeq lists it as uncharacterized. NCBI's taxonomy places the organism in Eukaryota, Metazoa, Arthropoda, Insecta, Hymenoptera, Formicidae. The record is from RefSeq and is a predicted model, not a curated record. The transcript is spliced from 2 exons.